RNAcentral lists this long non-coding RNA (5421 nucleotides) under Sus scrofa (pig). RNAcentral's name for it is "lncRNA (ENSSSCG00000061337.1, ENSSSCG00110009961.1, ENSSSCG00160013576.1, ENSSSCG00175036902.1)". The record is from RNAcentral. Lineage: Eukaryota; Metazoa; Chordata; Mammalia; Artiodactyla; Suidae.
UUUUCAUGUGUUGUGAUGAAGCUCCAAUAUUAGUCCCUACCUGGUUCCCCAGGGCCCUUGGGGAGACCCUCAAGUGUCUCCUCUAUGCUGGAUUCAUUCCCUGAGUUGGCUCCAUUAUUAAGGAUGUGUUCCUAUUUAGUAAUAAUAAAAAUAAAUAAAUGCCUGGCAUGGGGCUUGGCAUUGAGCAAUGAAUUGAGUGGAAGCCUCACACCUGACUCUGCCAGGCAUUCCAAGCAUCCCAAAGCUGUCGGGGGGGUCUUUAUGGCAAGGUCCUGCUCUUUCUGGGGUUCUGACUGAGUCCAAGCCCACUUUCCCAAGAUUAUGACCAUGGGACCCUUCGGUGAUUUUCACCUCCAUGCCCCACACCCCUGUGCUCAGUCAGUUCUGGUACAUGUCGAGCUUGCCAAACUCUCUGGGCUCUGUGCCUUCCUGUUUGGCUAUACUUCCAGAGGCAAUCUCUGUAGCCAGGACAGUUUCCUCAAUGGUCUUUAUCUCUUGCCAAGCCCAUCCCCCUUUUAUGCCUUCUCUAAGUCUAAAUCUGCAGAGAAGACCCCUAGAGUGAUGUUUGGGGGAAACUGCAUUAAUCAGGCAUUGGUCCAUCAGCCUUUAGGGGCCUAGUUCAUGGCAGGGGGACAAAUAUUCAGAUCCCGAGAAUUCCAUAUGCUGAACAUCGGUGGGAAUUGGCAGAACCUGCUCAGUGUUGCAUGCCCAGACCUCAGAGAAGACUUGUCCUCUCUUGUCUCCAUUCAGUCACAUCCAACCACAAAUUUGCUAUAAGCAGGUCAUCAAAGCUAUCCAGGCCUCAGCUUUAAGGCCAAGAUUUCCUUUGGAAGAUAGCUUUGGUAUAGAGAGAAAAACAUAGAGCUCAGAAUCAGCAGAACUGAGUUCAAAAGACAAUUCAAUUUCUUAGAUGCAUGAAUUUGAAUAAGAUAGGGUCUCUGAAUUUCAGUCUUUUCAUCUAUAAAAUGGGAACAGUAAAAAUACCUAAGUAGAUUUUAAGUCAGGUUUAAAAAAGAAAAUAUAUACAAAAUUCUUCAUAAACUGAAGCACAUAUGAUGCUAUAUAUUAUAUUUAUUUAUAACUGACUUCUCAAAGAGUUUAAGAUUUCAAAAGGCAAAGUGAGAUAAAGGAAGUUCCAGAUUCCAGUAAUGACAAAGUAGCUUGGCCAGACUAAUUCUUCAACAGAUAACAAUAAUAAAAUGUAUGUAAAAUAAUUUUAAGAGCAUUGGAGGGCACCACGAACUGGAAGAAAUUUAAUGGGAGAUCAAUCCUUGUUAGAUAAGAAAUGCACUAGUGAGAUUUGUGAAUUAUCAGCUUUUUAUCUGAGGGCACAUCCCAAUCCCUUCACCUCAGGAUGGAAUAAAACUAUAGUUCUUCUACCUCAAGGUGUCAGAGAAUGGAGAUCUGAGCUGGCAAAAUUGCAGAAAAGCUAGUGUGUGCAUGUGUGUGUGUAUGGUUGGGGGAUAUACCACAAAUAAGAGAGAUACAGAGAUAGUGAGUGAAAAAAAUCUGCAAAUAGAUUCUUCUGAAAGUAUUGGUUGACUGCUGAAAAAAGAAGAAUACAGAAGCUGUGCUUAUCCCAGAGAAGACAAAAUUUUGUCAAGUUAAUUGAACAAAUAUAAACACUCCUCAAAAGAAGAUAACAAAAUCCAGAGACUCUAUACCUUCCAAACUGUCUGCAUAUAAUUUCAAAAUUACUAGGCAUUCAAAGUAAUAAUAAUGUAUAGCCUAUACUUCACAGAUAAGCAGUAUGUUCAAGAGCUUCUCAGAAAAAUAUGUCAUAGUGAAUUAAGAACAAAGAAUAUUAGCAAAAAAUAGCAACUAUUAAGAAAGCAAAAUUUAGAGUUGAAACUAUAAAACAGAAUAUUAUAAGUGUCAGAAGAAAGAAACAAUAAGUUGAAAAAUAGAUGAAUGGAAAUGAUCCAAACCAAAAAACAGAAAGGAAAAUUUUUGAAUAAAGAUUAACAAAGCUUUAGUGAACUUUGAGACAAUAUCAAGCAAUCUAGUAUAUUUAUAGUUGGAGUUCAAACAGGACGUCAAAGAUAAAAUGGAGUAGAGAAAAAUAUAAUAAUCAAAAAUUUCCCAAAUUACUUAAGUUCAAUUUAGAGUUGCAAGAAAUCCAGUAAACAUCAAACAGAGUAAAUGUAAUCAAUACCAUGUAAUAUCAAAUGUCUGACUCCAAAGGUAAAAAGAAAAUCUUAAAAGUACACAAAAGAUCAUACAUUAUGCACAGAAUCAUAAUGCCACAAAACUGCUGACUUCUUAUCAGAAAUCAUGAGAGUCACAGGCAAUGGAAUGAUGUCUUUAAAAUAAUGAAAGACUAAGACUGACAACAAAAAAUGCUAUACUCAAUACAAUUACUCUCAAAGCAUGAAGGCAAAAUAAAGACAUUUUCAGAUUAAGAAAAAAUGAGAUGGUUUGUAGUCAGGACAUUUACUGCGCAGCAUAUUUUGAAAGAAGUUCUUCUGGCUGAUGGGCAGUAACACCAGAUAGAAAUUCUGACAGAUCAACAAAAAAGAAUGAGUAGCACUAAACAUAAUACAUAUUGUAUAAAUAUGAAGGAGGGUUUUCCUUUCCUUUUCUUCAAAAAUACAUGCUGCUUAAACAAAAACAGCUAAUAUUUUGUUGUAGUGUUUAUAGUGUAUAUAGAUUGUAAAAUGUGUACAUAUAUACAUACAUAUAUGUGUGCAUAUAUAUACACAUAUAUAAUAACACAAAGGAUGAUCAUGUCAAUAGAAACUUAUUGUUCCAUGUUUCCUAUAUGUCAUGUGAAGCAGUAAAAAGUAAUACUAUAAAGAGUAAAGGCACCUAUGGUAAUCACCAGUUAAAAGCUGGAUCAUCAGUUAGUCAUGAAAAGAGGUACACUUAAAAAGCUAUUAGUUGGGGUAAAAGUGAAUAUUAAAAAUUGUUUGAUUAAUUCAAAGCUAGGCAAGAAAGGUGGAAUAGAGGAAUAAAAAAAAGAACAAGUAGUAACAUGAUAGAUCUAAUACAAUAAUAUCAAUAAUUAUAGUAAUAUAAAGAGACUAAAUUCUCAAAUAGAAGGCAAAAACUGUUAGAUUGUAUUAAAAACUCAAGGCCCAACUACAUGCUAUACACCAAAGACAAUUUUUAAAUACCAAUAUAAAUAAAGCAAAGCAAAUUUUAUGACCACACCUAACUCUAAGGUGAGUACAGAAGUACAAUCCAACCAUUGUGCUGAGAUAGUGAACUAAAUAUCUCUGAACAUAAGGUCUCUCUUCUGUCCUGCAAAGAGAAGGGAGGAGCUUGAUGUCUUUUGAAUAUCAGACACCCACUGUCCACUCGAUUGGCCAGAGUGCCUAGUGAGCAUUAUGCCCAGGGUUCCUAUGCCAAGCCCAGUGCCCACUGAUAAGCAGGCUUGAAAUAAGGGUGGCAUUUUCAGGAAUUAGUAGGGUCCAAAAUAUAUUGGACAAGGCUGUUCUUCUUUAGCUGCCAAAGGCACAGGCAAGUGGCCAGCCCAAACUUUUAGUAUCUAGCAUCAGUGUUCAUUACCCCCCGCCCCAAGCAUUUAAGAGAGGGACUUAUGCCAGCAAAAUCAUCUCCUCCAUGGCUGGUAUCUCACUAAUUAUUUUAAUAGGAAGAAAUCACACCAGUUAUUUUAACAGGAAGAAUUUAAUACAAAUUAAAUUGUGAUCCAAGUAAAAGAAUUGUUAACUAGAUAUGUGAAAAGACAAAAAGAUGCACUAAGAUAUCACAGAGAUCACAAAUGCCGAAGAGCUACUACCCCUAGGACUGGGGAAGCAAAGAGAAAAGAUGGAAACUAAACUCUAGAAGUAUGGAUGAGGGUCCCAUGAAUGGGUUAUGGUCUCUAUGCAGCUGGUUAUUCAAGAGUUGGAAAAAUUGGUUCAGCUGUUGCUGUAGAAACACCCAACUGCCUAGGUAAAGAAGGAAGCCUGAGAUGAGCUACCAGAAGUGCGCAGGAAGCUGAGAGGAAGAAACUCCCUUUUUCUUCCUCCUGCCUUGUAGUCUGACUCUGGCUCCCCCUAUUGACAGAAUAUAUGAUGGAGCAGGAGGGCAAAUCAGAAAUGAGGUGUAAAGGCUCCAGUCCCAGCAUCACAAAUCUGAGUGUGGAAUAAUGUUUGGAGCCAACAGACAAUGGUUUCAGGCCUGACCCAGCUGGGCUAUGGCCAGUCCAACAGUGAUUGCUGGGCUGGGCUCCCCAGACAGGUAAUUUGAUAUGGGCACUGGAGAGAAGGAUUCCCUAUAACAUUUGGGAGCAAAUUGAGUCAAAGGGUAACUGGGUCCAAGGGAGUGUGGCAGGAACAAAAAAUGGCUGCAUAUUAGGAAGAAGAGGGUCUAUAGAGCUAGUGUCAGAAGAGAAAACUGAAGGAGGCUGGUAAAUGUAGGAGCAAUAUAAGGCAUGAAGAGUUUAGACAGUAAUGAAACAAGAAGGUACAGAAAUUUGCAGGGCCUUGCUGUCUAAACCCCCUGUGGGAUGGCUGUAUAUUAGUGGGAAGAUUAAAGACAUGGUUUGGAUAGGGUGCUGUAAAUUGAGACAGGGAGCAAUAGCACUUAUCCAUCUAUUUAUCAAUCAGCCUUAUUUUGUGUUUUAGAGGACAAGAGAUGUGCAAAUCAGUUUGUGUGUGCAUGUGCAUGUACAUGCAAGUACACAGGUACAGGAAUGCAUGUCCUGGGGGAUCGUUCCAGAAGAACACUGUAACAUUGAUGCAUAGGCAAUAUAAUAUGUAUUUAUUAUGGCUAGUGAGAGAGAAUUGUGUCUUAAUGGAGAAGGUGAUUGUUAUUCAUGAUUUCCAAGUGGUUAACUAGAUCCAGAGGAUUUGCAUUAAACCAAGUCAUUCCCCUUCUAUGCUUGCUGGCCAUGAUCGAUGGAAAUGUCAAGUCCCAUGUGAUCUCUGAGCUCGCAUUCCCUUUCUUCUAGAAUUGGGGCAUUUUUCCCCUACCAUUUCUGCUCUGAGUCUCAUUUCCACAAACAGUGCUGGUGAUAUGUCUAUGGAUUUGAUCUUCAAUUUCUAACUUCUUUUAAAGGGCAUUGUCAGCCCAUAACACAAUUUCUAAAGCAGAUAUUGUCCUGGUAUUCAGGAAAAAAAAUAAGGAUGAAAGAAAGCAUGUGACUCUGAAUGUGAAAUGCAAGAUUUCACAGAAUCAUGGAUUUUUCAAGCUAGAAAGCACUUUAAGGAUUACUGAGUCCAGGUUCUUCAAACUCUGUUUUAAACAGAAGAGCACUUUACACUAGCUGUUGGAACUGGCAGUAAUUUUUUGAAUGAACAAAUGAAUGAACAAGGCAGAAUAUGUGAUAGAGAUUUUUAAAGUAGAAGAAAUUACAGGAUCAUAAAUACAGGAGUCACAACAUUGUCCAGGGUUUUCUGGAAUUAUUGAAGCCAAAACAUAGGAGAGGGAGAGGGAAAGAUGGAAGAGGAACCCAUUUCCUACAUUUCAAAUUAA